AUUAUCGGUACCCCCCUACCCACCAUUGAGGACUUGCACGCUGCCAGAACUAAGACAAGAGCGUGCAAAAUCCUCUCGGACCCUCCGCACCCCGGUCACUAGCUCUUCCAGCUCCUUCCCUCAGAGCCUUGGUGAGAGAGGUAAAGAAGAACCCAAAAAUCACUGUCGCUAAGUUCCAGAGAUGCAGUCGGGAGAUGGGAGAAACUUCUAGAAAGUCAACUGCAGCCCUCCACCAGUCGGGGUUUUAUGGCAGAGUGGCUCGACGGAAGCCUCUCCUCAGUGCAAGACACAUGAAAGCCUGCAUGGAGUUUGCUAAAAAAAAAAACACCAGACAAGAAACUCCAAGAAGGCACUGCUCAUCACCUGUCCAAUACAGUCCCAACAAUGAAGCAUGGUGGUGGCAGCAUCAUGCUGUGGGGGUGUCCUGGACGAAAACCUUCUCCAGAGUGCUCAGAACCUCAGACUGGGCCAAAGGUUCAUCUUCAAAAAAGACAAUGACCCUAAGCGCACAGCUAAAAUAACGAAGGAGUGGCUUCAGAACAACUCUGGGACUGUUCUUGAACCCUGACUUAAACCCAAUUGAACAUCCCUGGAAAGACCUGAAAAUGGCUGCCCACCAACAUUCACCAUCCAACUUGACAGAACUGGAGAGGAUCUGCAAGGAGGAAUGGCAGAGGAUCCCCAAAUCCAGGUGUGAAAAACUUGUUGCAUCAUUCCCAAAAAGACUCAUGGCUGUAUUAGUCAAAAGGGUGCUUCUACUAAUAAAUCUGCAUAAGCGGUAGAAAAUGGAAGUUUUUUUCUGCCAAU
Long non-coding RNA from Phyllopteryx taeniolatus (common seadragon), 807 nucleotides. RefSeq lists it as uncharacterized. The record is from RefSeq and is a predicted model, not a curated record. Lineage: Eukaryota; Metazoa; Chordata; Actinopteri; Syngnathiformes; Syngnathidae. The transcript has 3 exons.